RNAcentral lists this ribosomal RNA (484 nucleotides) under uncultured bacterium. RNAcentral describes it as "partial 16S ribosomal RNA". It matches the Rfam family "Bacterial small subunit ribosomal RNA", at positions 30 to 507 of the family's 1533-position model. The record is from RNAcentral.
AUUGAACGCUGGCGGCAGGCCUAACACAUGCAAGUCGAGCGGCAGAAGAGAGCUUGCUCCUUCAUUCAGCUGCCGACUGGUGGGUGAUUCCUAGGAAUAUCCCUAUUUGUUUUUUAUAAGGGCCUGAAACGGGCGCUAAUACGCCAUUCGUCCUUACGGAGUACGGGUGGGAGCUUCGGACCUCACGCUAUCGCAUGAGCCUAGGUCGGAUUGUCUAGUUGGUGGGGUAAAGGCCUACCAAGGCGACGAUCCGUAACUGGUCUGAGAGGAUGAUCAGUCACACUGGAACUGAGACACGGUCCAGACUCCUACGGGAGGCAGCAGUGGGGAAUAUUGGACAAUGGGCGCAAGCCUGAUCCAGCCAUGCCGCGUGUGUGAAGAAGGUCUUCGGAUUGUAAAGCACUUUAAGUUGGGAGGAAGGGCAGUAAGUUAAUACCUUGCUGUUUUGACGUUACCAACAGAAUAAGCACCGGCUAACUUCGUG